Molecule: ribosomal RNA, 498 nt
Filed under: uncultured bacterium
Lineage: Bacteria
Description: partial 16S ribosomal RNA
Rfam family: Bacterial small subunit ribosomal RNA
Source: RNAcentral
GACGAACGCUAGCUACAGGCUUAACACAUGCAAGUCGAGGGGUAGCAGGGUAGCAAUACCGCUGACGACCGGCGCACGGGUGAGUAACACGUAUCCAACCUUCCCAUAACUCGGGGAUAGCCUUUCGAAAGAAAGAUUAAUACCCGAUAGUACUUUUUCAAGGCAUCUUGAGAAAGUUAAAGAUUUAUUGGUUAUGGAUGGGGAUGCGUUCCAUUAGAUAGUUGGUGAGGUAACGGCUCACCAAGUCUUCGAUGGAUAGGGGUUCUGAGAGGAAGGUCCCCCACAUUGGUACUGAGACACGGACCAAACUCCUACGGGAGGCAGCAGUGAGGAAUAUUGGUCAAUGGGCGAGAGCCUGAACCAGCCAAGUAGCGUGAAGGAUGAAGGUCCUAUGGAUUGUAAACUUCUUUUAUAGUAGAAUAAAGUGAUCCACGUGUGGAUUUUUGUAUGUAUACUAUGAAUAAGGAUCGGCUAACUCCGUGCCAGCAGCCGCAGUAA